GAAACUAAAGAUGAGAGAAAGGAAGUCACUUUCCCAAGCCUGUCUUCCUAGAUGACCCCGUUAAAUAUUAUCUCCAGAAACUACUAAACAGGUACAUAUGGCCUCCCAGACCCCAGGAGUCUGCAGCCUGCAUUUCCAAGAGGCCACUGCAGAGACUUCCACAGCACCUCUGUUUGUCUAAUGACAUGGGCACCAGAUUCCACACUUAUUUCACAUUCAGCAGUACAGCUCUGCACACAGAAAGUUGUCGUCCAUCUGAAAUGAGAAUGGAUGCUCUUUGCAGCUUUUUGCCUGGUGAGAUCUUUGUACAAAAGCCACCGGAUGACUGUGCUAAUGCAGCCGACUCUCCACGUGUGGGUGUGGCUGAGAAGAUGAAAGGGGC
Long non-coding RNA from Prionailurus viverrinus (fishing cat), 382 nucleotides. RefSeq lists it as uncharacterized. NCBI's taxonomy places the organism in Eukaryota, Metazoa, Chordata, Mammalia, Carnivora, Felidae. The transcript is spliced from 4 exons. The record is from RefSeq and is a predicted model, not a curated record.